This 62-nucleotide transfer RNA is filed under the name Alectorobius fonsecai. RNAcentral's name for it is "tRNA-Trp". Lineage: Eukaryota; Metazoa; Arthropoda; Arachnida; Ixodida; Argasidae. The record is from RNAcentral.
AAGUCUUUAAGUUAAAAAAACUAUAUACCUUCAAAGUAUAAAUUAAUUAAAAUUAAGUCUUA